This 527-nucleotide ribosomal RNA is filed under the name uncultured Methanobrevibacter sp. RNAcentral describes it as "bacterial SSU rRNA". It matches the Rfam family "Archaeal small subunit ribosomal RNA", at positions 335 to 858 of the family's 1478-position model. The record is from RNAcentral. Lineage: Archaea; Methanobacteriati; Methanobacteriota; Methanobacteria; Methanobacteriales; Methanobacteriaceae.
GCAGGCGCGAAACCUCCGCAAUGUGAGAAAUCGCGACGGGGGGGAUCCCCAAGUGCCAUUCUUAACGGGAUGGCUUUUCUUAAGUGUAAAAAGCUUUUGGAAUAAGAGCUGGGCAAGACCGGUGCCAGCCGCCGCGGUAACACCGGCAGCUCUAGUGGUAGCAGUUUUUAUUGGGCCUAAAGCGUUCGUAGCCGGUUUAAUAAGUCUCUGGUGAAAUCCUGUAGCUUAACUGUGGGAAUUGCUGGAGAUACUGUUGAACUUGAGAUCGGGAGAGGUUAGAGGUACUCCCAGGGUAGAGGUGAAAUUCUGUAAUCCUGGGAGGACCGCCUGUUGCGAAGGCGUCUAACUGGAACGGUUCUGACGGUGAGGGACGAAAGUUAGGGGCGCGAACCGGAUUAGAUACCCGGGUAGUCCUAGCCGUAAACGAUGCGGACUUGGUGUUGGGGAUGGCUUUGAGCCGCUCCAGUGCCGAAGGGAAGCUGUUAAUUCCGCCGCCUGGGAAGUACGGUCACGGGACUGAGAACUUA